CCCACUUCAACUCAAGAAUAAGCAACAUUUGAUUCUAGCCACCAAGUCUCUAAUGCUUGUCCUUAAUAUUCUAACAACAUAGGCAAUGAGCUACAAAGUCUGCCACAUCUCUCUUCAUGCCACUCCAGCAAUAGUGUUACCUAAAAUCUUUAUACAUCUUAGUUGUACCAGGGUGAAUACAGUAUCUAUAGAUAUAAUCCUCAUGUAAUAUUGACUAAAUCAAGUCUCCAACCCUCAAAACACAAAGGUGGCGAUCAUAUCUUAGAACACCCUCUGAAUCUAUGGUAUCCCUCUUGGACACACCACUCAACACCUAGUCAAUGAUGACAUAAAGUCUCACAUCCUCGAACUGGAGACUUCAAAUCUACUCAAAUAAAGUACACCUUGCCUCAGUACUAACAAGAACCUCCUGGGGACAAAGAUAUCAAGUCACACCAUCAAGUUGGCUAAGGACUGAAUGCUCCACACCAACGGACUCUGAGAAACUGAGAUACAAUACAAGCUACUCAUACUUACUGCCUUUUGGCUCAAGGCAUCCCCUACCAGGUUUGCUUUGCCUAGAUGAUAUAGAAUAGAUUUGUCAUAAUCCUUAAGCAACUUCAUCCAUCUACGCUUCUUAGAAUUAAGCUCUCUUUGAGUUAUAAGGUGUUGAAGACUAUGAUGAUCCGUAUAGAUCUCACAAUGCAUACCAUAAAGAUAAUGCCUCUAAAUCUAAAGUGUGAAAACUAUCACCGCCAACUCCAAAUCAUUAAUGGGAAGUUGAGCUCGUGAACCUUUAUCUGCCUCAACACAUAAGUAAUAACUUGACCUUGUUGCAUCAACACAAAACCUAAACCAACACUGAAAGCAUCACAGUGAAUCCCUUAAGAGACAAUAUAGCAGCUAAAGUGACAAAUCCCUUGAGCUUUUAAAAUCUCAACUCACACUCCUCGAACCACUAGAAAGAAACCUCUAUCUGAGUCAAUCUGGUCAUUGGCGCUGUAACAGUAGCAAAAGCCUCAAUGAAUCACCUAUAGUAACCAACCAAGCCAAUGAAACUAUGAACCUCAGGCGGAUAUUUAGGCCUGACCCAAUCACGAAUAGCCUCAAUCUUUGUUGGGUCCACCAUAAUUCCAUCUUAGAAACCACAUGUCCUAGGAAAGUCAUUGAAUCAAGCCAGAACUAAUACUUAGAUAAGUUGGCAGAAAGUCUAUGAUCUCUCAAAGUCUGGAUCACAAUCCUCAAAUAUUGCAUAUGCUUCUCUCUACUCCUCGAAUACAUAAGGAUGCCAUCGAUGGACACAAUCAACUAGGAAUCCAAAAAAGUCCUGAACACAUAAUUCAUCAAAUCCAUGAACAUUGUUGGGGCAUUGGUCAACCCAAAAGAUGUCACUUGGAACUCAUAAUGGCCAUAAUGAGUCCUAAAGGCUAUCUUUGGGAUUUCCUCAGCCCAAAUCCUCAACUGAUGGUAACUGUACCUCAAGUAAAUCUUAGAGAACACUGCCACUCCCUAAAGCUAGUCAAAUAGAUCAUCAAUGCAAAGCAUAAGAUACCUAUCCUGCACUGUUACCUUAUUAAGUUACAUGUAGUCAAUACAUAUAUGCAAGGAACCAUCCUUCUUCUUCAUGAACAAAAUAGGAGCACCCAAGGCAACAUACUCAAUCUAAUGAAAUCCUUAUCUAGAAGAUACCAAAGCUGAGAAUUUAGCAUUUUAAGCUCGAUAGGAUACAUACAAUAAGGUGCCAUAAAAAUAGGUCGGGUGCCAAGCUCAAGAUCAAUAAUAAACUCAAUAUCACGCUCAAUAGGAAGACCAGGUACUCGUUAGAGAAAACAAUAGGAAACUCACGGAUACCUAGACGCCAAAGAAAGCUUGCUGAAAUCCGCUAAACCAUCUAUUUUUCUUUCUUAGAAGCUUCUGCACGAUAUCACGCUAUCAAAAUAAUAAUCUACUAAUCAUUACUAGAACAAUGGUACCCAUAUUGAAUUUUUACGCUUCAGGUCCAAAAUCACCUUAAAAAAUUCCAUAUGGGUCUACUUGUGAAAUCAUACCUUCAAAACCGUCAAUGCAUUCCUCUAUGCUCAAGGAAGAUUUAUCCUCAAUAAUGGGUAAAUUUCGAGCUCAAAUGGUGCUAAAAUCAACCUACUAAUCUAGGGAUUUUGGAAAUUUAGAGAGAAUUUAACCCUGAAUUUAGUGGAAACUUACCAAGAAUUCGAGAAAAAAUGAGAAAUCUAAGCUCACAAACACCCCAAAAUCACAUAUUAAUGUUUCUCCCAAGUUUCCACACUCUCUUGGCCUUUCACUCUUGAGACUUGUAAGAAAUAUGGGAGAAAAUUAGGCUAAUUGGGUAUUAAUGGCCCCCCAGGUGCCGCUUAAGCAGACAUGGACAGCUAAAGCAGAUUGUACCGCUUAAGCGGUACCCGCUGCCUGCACCCCCUUAGCUUAAGUAGAUCAUUUUUUGCUUUAGCGACCUUCGGUUAAAUGGAAAGGGCUUGCUUAAGCGUGCCUUAUUUGGUCAAGCAGGGUCGCUUAAGUGACCGGCUACCCACUUGAGCGGCCUACGCUUAAGCAACCCAAGUGGCGCUUAAGCAUAUGCACCAGUAGAGUGGUGCACCAGCUGGGACUUAGAAAAUUCCAAGUCUCCACUGACCCCUCGAGAUUAAUCUGGAAUCUCAUAAAUGUAAACAAACUAUGAUACUCUAUCAAAUUUGAAGUUUUGGACUCAAUGGCACAGUCCAGAUUUCCAUUCGAGGUUGUUUUGAAAAAAAGCGAGUCCCACACACAAGUGCUAUUUUUAUCAAUUUUUGGCCAAUAUCACAAAUUGAGUCCACAAACCUUGGGACCCAAACCAAUGAUUACCCUAGCCUAAAAUCGAUGUUCCAAAGCAAUUAGAACUGUCAAAAUGGACAUAUGAGGUCGUUUGACUAAAGUUUUUGCUCAGUGGCCAAUUCUUACUAGUGAAGACUUCAAAAUAGGAGAUUAUCUCUAAAAACCAAACGAAUUGCCCGGUGUCCGAAUUGUCAGCUCCAAAAAGUUAUAAAUAACUUGGGCCAUCUAUAGAAAAGCUUUAAAUGUAAAAAAAAAUGGAAAUACAAAAAAUGACCAGGAAGGUAAUUACAAUAUCCACUACUAAAAGAACUUUUGUCUGCAAAAGUAAAGGAUUAGGAUGUACCUAAAGCCUCGUACAGGUAAGGAUACUGGGCCCACAUCUCACUCUCGGUCUCCCAGGUAGCCUCCACUACUAGGUGGUGUCUCCACUGACCUUAACUAAUGGAAUCUCUCUAGAGCACAACCGAGUGGCUUCCGUAGUUAAUAUGAACUCAAGCUUCUUCACAAAGUUCAAUCACUCAUCCAACUAAAUUGAGUCCCAUCGAAGCACAUAGUUCUCAUCGGGAAUGCACUAUCACAACAUAAAAACUGGAUGAACAACAGCAAAAUCUAAGGGUAAGGCUAACUUAUAUACCACUUCUCUAACUGUGAGAAGGAUCUCAAAAGGUAAAAUAUAUAUGGGGCUAAGCUUUUCCAUCUUCCCAAAUCUCAUCACACCCUUCAUGGGUGAUACACGAAGGAAUACCUAUUCACCAACUCCAAAUCUUAAGGAAUAAAGUCUACGGUCUGCAUAAGUCUUCUACCUACUCUGAGAUACCUUCAACCUAUCAUGAAUCACCCUGACUCUAUCCAAUGACUCCCAAAGAAAGUACCAUGGGGUCUAAUCUCGGAGGUCUCAAACUAUCCAAUCGAAGAACGAAAUGUCCACCAUGUAAAGCCUCUAAUGGUGUCAUCUAAAUACUCAAAUAGUAGCUAUCAUUAUAUGCAAACUCUGCUAAUGCUAAGUUUUUCUCCCACUUACCUCCAAAAUCCAUAACACGGGCUUGGAGCAUAUCCUUAAGAAUCUGAAUAGUCUACUCUGACUGCCCAUUGGUCUGGGGUUGGAAGGUUGUGCUAAGAUUUAUUUGAGUACCCAACUCCUCUUAAAAAGCGUGCCAAAAGCUAGAAGUAAUACUGAACCGAAUCUGAUAUGACGGAUAUAGGCACACCAUUCGAAUAAAAUAUUGCAUGAAUAUAGAUACGGGCUAACCUCUCGGUGCUAAAGGACAUCUGAAUAGGAAUAAAGUAUGCCGACUUGGUCAACCAAUCUACAAUAACCCAAAUACCAUCAAAAUCAUGGAAAGUUUGAGGUGGACCACUAACAAAGUCCAUGGUGAUCCGCUCCCACUUCAACUCAAGAAUAAGCAACAUUUGAUUCUAGCCACCAAGUCUCUAAUGCUUGUCCUUAAUAUUCUAACAACAUAGGCAAUGAGCUACAAAGUCUGCCAUAUCUCUGUUCAUGCCACUCCAGCAAUAGUGUUACCUAAAAUCUUUAUACAUCUUAGUUGUACCAGGGUGAAUACAGUAUCUAUAGAUAUAAUCCUCACGUAAUAUUGACUAAAUCAAGUCUCCAACCCUCAAAACACAAAGGUGGCGAUCAUAUCUUAGAACACCCUCUGAAUCUAUGGUAUCCCUCUUGGACACACCACUCAACACCUAGUCAAUGAUGACAUAAAGUCUCACAUCCUCGAACUGGAGACUUCAAAUCUACUCAAAUAAAGUACACCUUGCCUCAGUACUAACAAGAACCUCCUGGGGACAAAGAUAUCAAGUCACACCAUCAAGUUGGCUAAGGACUGAAUGCUCCACACCAACGGACUCUGAGAAACUGAGAUACAAUACAAGCUACUCAUACUUACUGCC
This 4707-nucleotide long non-coding RNA is filed under the name Capsicum annuum. RNAcentral describes it as "long non-coding RNA (CANN_LNC021942)". The record is from RNAcentral. Lineage: Eukaryota; Viridiplantae; Streptophyta; Magnoliopsida; Solanales; Solanaceae.